UUGAACGUUCCUUCCUGGGAAGCUGCAGCCUGUCAGCAUGGCUCAGGAGUUUGUGAACUGCAAGAUUCAGUCUGGAAAGGUGGUCGUGUUCAUCAAACCCACCUGCCCCUAUUGCAGAAAGACUCAAGAAAUCCUCAGUCAACUGCCUUUCAAACGUGGUCUCCUGGAAUUUGUGGACAUCACAGCUACUAACAACACCAAUGCGAUUCAAGAUUAUUUACAACAGCUCACCGGAGCAAGAACAGUGAGUGUGUUUAAACGUUAAGGAAGCACUAACGUUUGCUGUUUCCUUUCCGGAGCUAUGCAGA
RNAcentral lists this long non-coding RNA (308 nucleotides) under Rattus norvegicus (Norway rat). RNAcentral describes it as "long non-coding RNA NONRATT014868". The record is from RNAcentral. Lineage: Eukaryota; Metazoa; Chordata; Mammalia; Rodentia; Muridae.